Molecule: ribosomal RNA, 490 nt
Filed under: uncultured bacterium
Lineage: Bacteria
Description: partial 16S ribosomal RNA
Rfam family: Bacterial small subunit ribosomal RNA
Source: RNAcentral
AAUGAACGCUGGCGGCAUGCCUUACACAUGCAAGUCGAACGGCAGCAUGACCUAGCUUGCUAGGUUGAUGGCGAGUGGCGAACGGGUGAGUAAUGCAUCGGAACGUGCCUUUUAGUGGGGGAUAACGUAGCGAAAGUUACGCUAAUACCGCAUAUUCUCUGAGGAGGAAAGCAGGGGACCUUCGGGCCUUGCGCUAGAAGAGCGGCCGAUGUCGGAUUAGCUAGUUGGUGAGGUAAAGGCCCACCAAGGCAACGAUCCGUAGCGGGUCUGAGAGGAUGAUCCGCCACACUGGGACUGAGACACGGCCCAGACUCCUACGGGAGGCAGCAGUGGGGAAUUUUGGACAAUGGGCGCAAGCCUGAUCCAGCCAUGCCGCGUGAGUGAAGAAGGCCUUCGGGUUGUAAAGCUCUUUCGGCUGGGAAGAAAUCGCACCCUCUAAUACAGGGUGUGGAUGACGGUACCAGCAUAAGAAGCACCGGCUAACUACGUG